This 439-nucleotide ribosomal RNA is filed under the name uncultured bacterium. Its description in RNAcentral is "partial 16S ribosomal RNA". It matches the Rfam family "Bacterial small subunit ribosomal RNA", at positions 339 to 795 of the family's 1533-position model. The record is from RNAcentral.
CUACGGGUCGCAGCAGUGAGGAAUAUUGCACAGUGGAGGAAACUCUGAUGCAGCAACGCCGCGUGGAGGAUGACGCAUUUCGGUGUGUAAACUCCUUUUAUAUGUCAAGAAAAUGACGGUAGCAUAUGAAUAAGCACCGGCUAACUCCGUGCCAGCAGCCGCGGUAAUACGGAGGGUGCAAGCGUUACUCGGAAUCACUGGGCGUAAAGGACGCGUAGGCGGGAUAUCAAGUCAGGUGUGAAAUCCUACAGCUUAACUGUAGAACUGCACUUGAAACUGGUAACCUAGAGUAUGGGAGGGGGAGAUGGAAUUAGUGGUGUAGGGGUAAAAUCCGUAGAUAUCACUAGGAAUACCUAAAGCGAAGGCGAUCUCCUGGAACAUAACUGACGCUAAGGCGCGAAAGCGUGGGGAGCAAACAGGAUUAGAUACCCGUGUAGUC